Molecule: long non-coding RNA, 658 nt
Organism: Eriocheir sinensis (Chinese mitten crab)
Lineage: Eukaryota; Metazoa; Arthropoda; Malacostraca; Decapoda; Varunidae
Exons: 5
Source: RefSeq, a predicted model, not a curated record
AUGUAGACUCCCUCUGGAGGCGGGUCGUGAAUGUCCUCCUUGUUGAAGCGCGUCACCAGGUUCUGCAGGAUCACACAGUCCAGCGACCAACCCUUGUGCUGGCGGGUCACUUCCUGUGGGUGUGAGGGAAGCCUUGGGGGUUGAAGAAGCCGGUGAUCCAGAAAGCCUUGGGCCGCCCGUAGGAGUACCAGCGGCGGAACUGUGAGUCUCGCUCCAUCAACUCUGUGAACCAGAACCCGAGCGUGCUGGACUCCCACGAAACCUGACAACAGUAUGGGGGUAAAAAUAAGCGCUCAGGGACCCGGGCGUCGUACAUUGCGUCCAGCAUGUCCUUGAGGGAGGUGCUCAUGAUGAUGGUCCCCUCGAUGGCCAGGUGGAGGUCCUGCAGGGUCUUCCGCACCACCUUCAACACCUGAACCAAUGACGUGUUACUCUCAGGACUCGGAAGUGCUCCUGCCUGAGGAAAAUGUUCAUGGGCAGUAUGGCGCCCAUCCUCUGCAGUGCUUCUCUGAUCUGCAAUGAGAGGGAAGAAUUCCACCAAACCUCACAAACCUCAACCAAACCUCAAAGAACUCAACCAAACCUCAAAGAACUCAACCAAACCUCAUAGACUGCAACCAAGCCUCCUCAACUCUCACCUCGUGCUGAAUGUAGUCUG